GUCUGAUAAAGGUACACGAGGAACAUGCAUCACAACCAUAUGUGUGUGACAGUGAUCUCAUAUAAUAAAUAGUGCAUGACUUUGCAAGUGGGGCCCAGUUAGAAUUUUCUUCAGGUUGAGUAGCCUAUUCCACUCAAAAGGGUUAUUUCAAGAU
Octopus sinensis (East Asian common octopus) is the source of this 154-nucleotide long non-coding RNA. RefSeq lists it as uncharacterized. The record is from RefSeq and is a predicted model, not a curated record. The transcript is spliced from 3 exons. NCBI's taxonomy places the organism in Eukaryota, Metazoa, Mollusca, Cephalopoda, Octopoda, Octopodidae.